This 420-nucleotide ribosomal RNA is filed under the name uncultured Glomeromycotina. RNAcentral's name for it is "SSU rRNA". It matches the Rfam family "Eukaryotic small subunit ribosomal RNA", at positions 673 to 1092 of the family's 1831-position model. The record is from RNAcentral. Lineage: Eukaryota; Fungi; Glomeromycota.
GUACGUACUGGUGUUACUGGUUCCUACCUUCUGACGAACCAUCAUGUCAUACAUUUGGUGUGGCGGGGAAUCAGGACUGUUACUUUGAAAAAAUUAGAGUGUUUAAAGCAGGCUCGCGUUUGAAUACAUUAGCAUGGAAUAAUGAAAUAGGAUGUUGAUCCUAUUUCGUUGGUUUCUAGGAUUGACGUAAUGAUUAAUAGGGAUAGUUGGGGGCAUUAGUAUUCAAUUGUCAGAGGUGAAAUUCUUGGAUUUAUUGAAGACUAACUACUGCGAAAGCAUUUGCCAAGGAUGUUUUCAUUAAUCAAGAACGAAAGUUAGGGGAUCGAAGACGAUCAGAUACCGUCGUAGUCUUAACCAUAAACUAUGCCGACUAGGGAUCGGAUGAUGUUAAUUUUUUAAUGACUCAUUCGGCGCCUUACG